GCAAACUUGGUCAUUUAGAGGAAGUAAAAGUCGUAACAAGGUUUCCGUAGGUGAACCUGCGGAAGGAUCAUUAUUGUUUAGGGGGCCUCACCGUCCCUUUGCAACGAUGCAACCCUUUGUUCUUGCCGUAACCUGUGUUUCCCUUGGCGCCUCUGGGCGCCGCAUGGGACCUGAAACCCUUUGCAAUCGAGUAUUCUCAGUCGCAGAAAUUAUCAAAACUUUCAACAAUGGAUCUCUUGGCUCUGGCAUCGAUGAAGAACGCAGC
RNAcentral lists this unclassified non-coding RNA (265 nucleotides) under uncultured fungus. RNAcentral describes it as "partial contains small subunit ribosomal RNA, internal transcribed spacer 1, and 5.8S ribosomal RNA". The stretch from base 1 to 73 matches the Rfam family "Eukaryotic small subunit ribosomal RNA", at positions 1759 to 1831 of the family's 1831-position model. Lineage: Eukaryota; Fungi. The record is from RNAcentral.